Molecule: ribosomal RNA, 431 nt
Filed under: uncultured bacterium
Lineage: Bacteria
Description: bacterial SSU rRNA
Rfam family: Bacterial small subunit ribosomal RNA
Source: RNAcentral
AACGCGAAGAACCUUACCUACCCUUGACAUGUACGGAAGCCGGAUGAGAGUUCGGUGUGCCCGAAAGGGAGCCGUAACACAGGUGCUGCAUGGCUGUCGUCAGCUCGUGUCGUGAGAUGUUGGGUUAAGUCCCGCAACGAGCGCAACCCUUGUCACUAGUUGCUACGCAAGGGCACUCUAGUGAGACUGCCGGUGACAAACCGGAGGAAGGUGGGGAUGACGUCAAGUCCUCAUGGCCCUUAUGGGUAGGGCUUCACACGUCAUACAAUGGCGCAUACAGAGGGCUGCCAACCCGCGAGGGGGAGCCAAUCCCAGAAAGUGCGUCGUAGUCCGGAUUGCAGUCUGCAACUCGACUGCAUGAAGUCGGAAUCGCUAGUAAUCGCGGAUCAGCAAUGUCGCGGUGAAUACGUUCCCGGGUCUUGUACACACCG